GACGAACCGUGCGAACGUUAUUCGGAAUCACUGGGCUUAAAGCGCGUGUAGGCGGCCCGGCACGUCCGUCGCUGAAAUCCCCCGGCUCAACCGGGGAAGUGGCGUGGAUACGACCGGGCUGGAGGGGGGUAGGGGGAGCCGGAACUUCCGGUGGAGCGGUGAAAUGCGUUGAGAUCGGAAGGAACGCCCGUGGCGAAAGCGGGCUCCUGGACCCCACCUGACGCUGAGACGCGAAAGCUAGGGGAGCAAACAGG
RNAcentral lists this ribosomal RNA (254 nucleotides) under uncultured bacterium. RNAcentral describes it as "partial 16S ribosomal RNA". It matches the Rfam family "Bacterial small subunit ribosomal RNA", at positions 524 to 776 of the family's 1533-position model. The record is from RNAcentral.